AUACUUACCUGGCAGGGGAGAUACUAUGGUCAGAAAGGUGUUUUUCCCAGGGCAAGGCUUAUCCAUUGCACUCCGGAUGUGCUGACUCCUGCGAUUUCCCCAAAUGUGGGAAACUCGACUGCAUAAUUUGUGGUGGUGGGGGUGGCCAA
RNAcentral lists this small nuclear RNA (149 nucleotides) under Neogale vison (American mink). Its description in RNAcentral is "Neovison vison (American mink) U1 spliceosomal RNA (ENSNVIG00000005017.1)". It matches the Rfam family "U1 spliceosomal RNA". From Rfam's summary of the family: U1 is a small nuclear RNA (snRNA) component of the spliceosome (involved in pre-mRNA splicing). Its 5' end forms complementary base pairs with the 5' splice junction, thus defining the 5' donor site of an intron. The record is from RNAcentral. Lineage: Eukaryota; Metazoa; Chordata; Mammalia; Carnivora; Mustelidae.